CGUCCUCUUUUGUUGCCAGAACCAAGCGUACAGGCUAGGGUUCCUCGCUCCGGCCGAAUCCUCCGCCGCCCUCUCUCCCAUGAGUUCCCGCUGCCUUCUCUGCCCAUCAUGCCUCCCGCCGGUGAAUCCCGUCUCCCGGCCUCCCGUGGGCUCCUCAUCGCCUGCAAGAGUUGUGUAGGUCGCCGCCACCCCUCUUCCUCCGGCCACGCCCGAGGAGCUUGAGCUUCUACGGCGGAGCACGGCCAUGCCGACACCAUCCCUUUGCCUCGCACCAGCCCGCCGACGGGCGAGUGCGCCGUCCAACCUCCAAGUCCGGCGCCGCCCAGCGCGUCGCUGCCCGGCCUGCACAACUCGAGGAUGCCGACGCCCCUGCACCGCUGUACGCGUAUCCUCACUGCUGCCCUGCGCGCCGUCGCCCUGCUUGACGCGAGGACGCCACUGCCUCCGCUCAUCUGUCGUUCGCCACCAAGGUCUGUCAGUUUAUCUUAGAGGGAGGCUUCCCUGCCUCUGUCUAACGCUGGAUAGUGUCUCCUCCAGGUUUCCUCUUCAAAUUUUGGCAAAUUAUUUUUUCUUAAGGUUAUAUGAUCAAAUGAUUAAAUUGUUGGAACUUCUGUCAUAGCACUACUACCAUGGCCUACUGAAAUAUCCUCAAGACUCUCAAUCGUAUAUAUGUCUGAAUAUAUGCAGGGAGCAAGUAUUCCACUCGUGUGGCUAGAGUGUGCUGUGUCAAACACCACAAUGGCUUCUUUGUUUACAGAAAGCUUGCGUAGAUGAGCUCUGACGUCAUGUCCAUGGCGGGUUAGAGUUCCGUUGUGGAAGCCCCACACAGAGAGGCUGGUGCACGCAUUGAUGACCACAACCUUUGGAGGUGACGCAGGUGGUAGCCUCUGUGUCGACGGGCUCCCGCGACACGCUACGGAAGCUUCGAUGCCGAGGUCCACAUCCACAGGUAGGUAUUUUCUGGUGAUGUUUGUGAUUGAGUUAUUCAUAUAUACUUACAUGGUGCAAAGCAGAAACGCUUCUUCAUUUUGGACCAGUCACCUAAGAAGCUUGAUGCACCUGCGAACAUAUUGGAAUUUGAAGCAAGGCGAGAGGAUGCCGAGUUCCUCACUGCGCGCGGCCUCGGCGUGCCUGCGUGUGGCAGUAAAUAGACGAGCUGUCGCCGCCAACCAUGCCACCGGCCAACCCCGACUUAUUUUUUUAUUUUGGCAUUUCUGGUCCCUGUUUGGGUGUCGUGUUAAUAAUUUGUUUUUGCUAAUGCUUUAUUUAGUAGUUAUGGCCUGAACACUUUUUUAUGAUGGAACUCUUUCGGUCUUGCUCAGGUGAUUUGUUUAGGAAGCUAGAUGAAAUUCUUAUUUGUUCCUAAUUCAUAUGCAACGUUAUAGAGCUUGCAUGGUGCAUAAUAUGAACAAUACUUUUUCUUUAA
Molecule: non-coding RNA, 1426 nt
Organism: Lolium perenne
Lineage: Eukaryota; Viridiplantae; Streptophyta; Magnoliopsida; Poales; Poaceae
Source: RefSeq, a predicted model, not a curated record